This 240-nucleotide unclassified non-coding RNA is filed under the name soil metagenome. Its description in RNAcentral is "partial contains 5.8S ribosomal RNA, internal transcribed spacer 2, and large subunit ribosomal RNA". The record is from RNAcentral.
AACCAUUCUCACCUGCGGCUAGACCUGCGGAAGGAUCAUUACACAAUACAAUAUGAAGGCUGUCCGCAGCUGGAGUAUUUUAUUACCCUUGUCUUUUGCGCACUUGUUGUUUCCUGGGCGGGUUCGCUCGCCACCAGGACCACCAAAUAAACCUUUUUUAUGCAGUUGCAAUCAGCGUCAGUACAAACAAUGUAAAUCAUUUACAACUUUCAGCAAUGGAUCUCAGAUCGGAAGAGCACA